Molecule: ribosomal RNA, 255 nt
Filed under: uncultured bacterium
Lineage: Bacteria
Description: partial 16S ribosomal RNA
Rfam family: Bacterial small subunit ribosomal RNA
Source: RNAcentral
UACGUAGGGUGCGAGCGUUAAUCGGAAUUACUGGGCGUAAAGCGUGCGCAGGCGGUUUUGUAAGUCUGUUGUGAAAUCCCCGGGCUCAACCUGGGAAUGGCAAUGGAGACUGCAAGGCUAGAGUUUGGCAGAGGGGGGUAGAAUUCCACGUGUAGCAGUGAAAUGCGUAGAUAUGUGGAGGAACACCGAUGGCGAAGGCAGCCCCCCUGGGUCAAAAACUGACGCUCAUGCACGAAAGCGUGGGGAGCAAACAGG